GGGGGGAGGACCCCUCCUCCGGUAGCUUCUGAGGAGGAGGUGGGAGGUCCGGGGCUGAGUCUGGGGGAACGUCUGUCCCCAGUGGCGGAGAGCUGACCGGGGAAGACUGGCAGCUUAGCGUCGGUAGGGGGCGAUAACGGCUUACACCCCUCUUCCUCGUCUCUCCCCAAGACCCAAUGAAAGCAGCAGCUCUCUGACCAAACUGUGCUGAACAUGAGUUAACAACAUACACCUCAUCAUGUGGCUCCCCCACACUGAAGAAAAUGAGUCUCAGGUCUAACUUUGUUUGAGGACUGCAAGAAAACCAUUCAGUAAGACAGAGGACAAAUCAAUGGAUCCAGCAGGAUCCAUAUACUGACAUUUACGUCUUGAUAGAGAGUAUCAGUCAGGCCCUGAUUCCUCUCUGGGCUAUUGGGUGGACUACCGUAAUGCCUGAAGAGUGUACAGCUCUGUGGACAGAGCCUAGAUCACCACUCAGUUGUUGUGAAGGAUAAAAAAUACAAUAUGAUUCUGCUUGCACAACAUCUUUUCACCAUGCAUUAACAUAUGAAACUGAAUUGUAAAUGUGUUGAUUUUUUCAAACUUUUUAUCUUCACUUUCAGUUUGCAUUUAGAAAAAUUCUUAACAUUUGUGUUAUGGUUCAUUUAUGUUCUACAAUGUAUUUGUGUUUUAUAAUUUCCCUUUUUACAAUUGAACCUCCCAUCGAUGGGAUGUUACAGUUAUAUAAAAUAAUAUCUAAUCAAUCAAGUUCUUUUCACUAUCAUAAGCCCUUUUGAUUGCCUGAUGCACCUUCACAAAUCUUGUCGAUCAAGUAUUUUAUAUAUCGCCUAUGAUGUCAGAACAAGCCACUAUGGAAACCUUUUUCUUAACUUCUUUAUUUUCGUUUUUAACAUGUUUGCAAAUGACAACACGGAAAGCAAAAUAUAAAUCCUGUUUCACACAGAAAGUUAGAAAAACACAAACCAACAGUUAUUGUAAUCCACUUCAUUCCCCUCAGAUAUGACUUUUCUCAAUGCCGUGUUCUGUCCUCUCUGUUCCUCUCAUGCUCAGACAGAUAGAGGCUUUCUGUGCGAAACAAAGAGAGCAGGAGCAUGUGACUUUUGCAGUGAGGCUCUUCUAGUAGCUUUAUGGUAGCAGGGGGAAGGAAGUGUUUAAAGGGACAGAGGAGAGCUGAAGUUCAGCAGAAUGGUUCAGACUACUGAUCACACCACCACGGAGCCCACUGCUGGAAAAUAAAUGAUAUGUCAAGGCUGCCAUUUACCACAUCAAGGCCUGGUUUUUAUUCACUUGCAGUGACGUUCUCUCUUUUUGACUCCUAAGUGCCCUCCAUUUCUUCAUCCAGCCAUUUGAAUUUCCUUGACUACGCUGCUGAAGCCAGAUACUUGAAUAUAGUUUUGUCAUUUUUCUCAAGUCGGGCUCUUGAUAAGAAUAAGAAAUAGAAAUCAAUACUUGUGGUACAGGCGGUUGAAGCACUGUGAGAAAGUUUAGAAGAAUAAAGCUCUACUUCUGCUAGCCGCAACAUGAGGCUUUACUUCCCAUUGCUAAAUGCUAACAUCAGCAUGUUGACAAUGAUCACUGUCUUAGUUUAGUUGUGGUGGCAUGCUAAACAUAUGUGGGUAAGGAUAAAUGUGUUGCAUGGGGGAAUUGUAUUUGGUCACCAACCAAAGUUCUGAACAAAUUAAAAUUUUAACCUGAAAUUAAAGCAUUCUCCACCCAUCCAA
This is a long non-coding RNA of Micropterus dolomieu (smallmouth bass), 1721 nucleotides long. RefSeq lists it as uncharacterized. NCBI's taxonomy places the organism in Eukaryota, Metazoa, Chordata, Actinopteri, Centrarchiformes, Centrarchidae. The record is from RefSeq and is a predicted model, not a curated record. The transcript has 4 exons.